RNAcentral lists this ribosomal RNA (113 nucleotides) under Plasmodium vivax (malaria parasite P. vivax). Its description in RNAcentral is "partial 18S ribosomal RNA". Lineage: Eukaryota; Apicomplexa; Aconoidasida; Haemosporida; Plasmodiidae. The record is from RNAcentral.
UUGAAGCGCAUUUUGCUAUUAUGUGUUCUUUUAAUUAAAAUGAUUCUUUUUAAGGACUUUCUUUGCUUCGGCUUGGAAGUCCUUGUUACUUUGAGUAAAUUAGAGUGUUCAAA